This 301-nucleotide ribosomal RNA is filed under the name uncultured bacterium. Its description in RNAcentral is "partial 16S ribosomal RNA". It matches the Rfam family "Bacterial small subunit ribosomal RNA", at positions 509 to 807 of the family's 1533-position model. The record is from RNAcentral.
CAGUCGCCGCGGUAACACGAAGGGGGCUAGCGUUGCUCGGAAUGACUGGGCGUAAAGGGCGCAUAGGCGGCGGCCAAAGUCAGGCGUGAAAUCCCCGGGCUCAACCUGGGACCCGCAUUUGUGACUGUAUAGCUAGAGUACGGUAGAGGGGGAUGGAAUUCCGCGUGUAGCAGUGAAAUGCGUAGAUAUGCGGAGGAACACCGAUGGCGAAGGCAAUCCCCUGGACCUGUACCGACGCUCAUGCACGAAAGCGUGGGGAGCAAACAGGAUUAGAUACCCCCGUAGUCCCUGUCUCUUAUAC